GAAAUUAUUCCGAAGUGGCUCUUUCCUUAGCCUCACAUUCUGAAACGGCUUUCUUNUACUGCUUCUUGACCGAAAAAGCCUGCGUGUGAACGGUGUGGACCAACGCGAGUCCGUUCCGUUUUCCCCGCAGUUGGAGCGAAGGAGGAUCAGCGGAAUGCAAGGAGGGGGAUCGUGGCGGCUUGCAGUGGGAGCAUUCGGGAAAGAGGUAGAGAGCGGGGACUUGUCUUGGGAGGGACGCUGCCGCCGCCGCAGCCCCCCCCCCCCACACACACGCACGCGGCGGCCGCCUCCUUUUGCCUUCUCUGCUGGAGAGGCGGGCGGGACUAGAGAGAGACCCGCUGCUGGCCGGCCGGCGGGCCGGACAGACACAGCGCUGCUGCUCCNGAGUGCACGGCGAGGGCUUUGGUCGCCCCAUGGCCCCGCCGCUGCUGCUGGCGCUGGCUGCUGCUGCUGCCGCUCUGGCUUGCUGCUCUUGCGCUGNAGCAGCAGCAGCAGCCGCGGCCGCGCCGUCGGGAAACCGCUUCUCUGAGGCGCGAGUGGCGCGCUGGGCGGCGGCGGCGCUCCGGCACGUGGCGGCCGCUCGGUGUCCUGAGCGCGGCGGGCUCUUGCCGCGGCCGCAGUGUCAGCGCCUGGCGCGGCUUUCCCAAGGCUCGGCUCCCGCCGUGUAUGUCUCGGAGCCCGGCCGGCCGGGCCACAAAGUGCGAGCGCUCCUCCCCGACGGCUGGGGGGACAUGCCCGAGGCGCCUCUCGUGCCCAGCGGCCGUAACCAGAGCGGAGCCCCGCAGCGCCCGGCUGGCGUUGCGCCUUUGGCACAAGAUGCCAUCCUAGUGCUGGACCCGACGCCGGGGGCCAAUUUCGGCCACCCACUCCUGCUUUUCUAUGUCGACUUCAACGUCAGCCCCCGACGAUGCCGUGGCCGUGACAGCCUUUACUUGGGNGGUUAUGAAUGCUUGACUCCAGCCCAGAGGAGCCGUUGUGAGAAUCAGCUGAAGCGCCGGCCAGGACGAGGCAAGGGGCGGAGCCAGUGGUCAACGGGGCGCAUUCGCCGGGAGGAGCCCCCAGUUGGUCUCUGUGAGAUUCAUUUUCUGCCCAUGGUGGUGGCAGCACAGGACCCAAAACGUCUGCAAAAGCUGCACUGCAUGGACCUCCAUGGAUACAGCCCGUGCCCUGAGCCGUUGCCCCUUAUCAGCUCCGGUUCCACAGCGGCUUAUUGUGAGCUCAACAAGAAUACACGACGGUGCCAUCGCCAGCAACUCCCAAUGUACAAAUCGUGCCGCAUGUAUCAGACGUGCGAUCAUGCAGUGCUGAUUGCAGGUGGUUGGCAGGAACAGGUUACAUACCCUCACCACGCCCAGCAUCUGCAGCAGUUCUACCAGAUGCUUCGACGGAACGGCUUCCGGCAAGAGCACAUCAAGGCAUUCUUUGCUAGUGAGGGGCAGGCCUCAGUGGCUGUGGAGAUCGGUGAGGUUCAUCCAGCCACAGAGAAGCUAGCCAUACGCUCCCACCUGGCCUUGGUCUGCAGGAGCAUGCACUGUGCCGACUCCCUGGUCCUCUACCUCAACAGUCCAGCAGCCAGCGAUGGCACAAUGUUGCUGUGGGACGCCAACCAUAAUGGCAUUGCUGAUCCGAAAGAGCGGUACUCCGUCUCGGAGCUCUUAGCCGACUUGGAAAGCUGCAACGCUCGCAGAGUCUUCCUUUUCCUUGACCAGAGUUACCCAGGGCCACUGACAAAAAAGCUGCGGGCAUCCCGGCACCAUCUCAAUGUGGUGCUGGUACGCAGCGGCACUACUGCCAAUGGNGGGUCUCCUCUGGCUGAGUUCUGGGCCAGACUGCAACCGGACCAGUGUCUGCUCCAACAUCUGUUGCCGGUGGGACCGUGGUCUGCAGUCAUGGCUUCUGGCACCCCUGUCCAGCUCCUCAAUGUCACCCUAGCAGGGGCACCUUGCCAUUCUGUGCCACCUCUUGGCGAGGAAGAGCGCCAGCGUCGCUACCACGGCUGUCAGAAUCUCCCCACCAUGCUAUGGUAUCAAAGGAGGCACCAGCAGCUGCUGCAGGAAGACGACUGA
This is a long non-coding RNA of Salvator merianae (Argentine black and white tegu), 2066 nucleotides long. The record is from Ensembl. NCBI's taxonomy places the organism in Eukaryota, Metazoa, Chordata, Lepidosauria, Squamata, Teiidae.